This 433-nucleotide unclassified non-coding RNA is filed under the name soil metagenome. RNAcentral describes it as "partial contains 5.8S ribosomal RNA, internal transcribed spacer 2, and large subunit ribosomal RNA". The stretch from base 1 to 120 matches the Rfam family "5.8S ribosomal RNA", at positions 35 to 154 of the family's 154-position model. The record is from RNAcentral.
GAUGAAGAACGUAGCGAAAUGCGAUACGUAAUGUGAAUUGCAGAAUUCAGUGAAUCAUCGAAUCUUUGAACGCAUAUUGCGCUCUCUGGUAUUCCGGAGAGCAUGCUUGUUUGAGUAUCAGUAAACACCUCAACUUCCAUAUCUUUUUUUGAAAUGGGAGUUGGACUUGAGUGAUCCCAGCGCUUUUCCUCACCGAAAAGUGGCGGGUUACUUGAAAUGCAGGUGCAGCUGGACUUUUCUCUGAGCUAUAAGCAUAUCUAUUUAGUCUGCCUAAAAAACAGAUUAUUACCUUUGCUGCAGCUAACAUAAAGGAGAUUAGUUCUUGUGCUGACUGAUGCAGGAUUCACAAAGACAGCUUCGGCCGACUUUGUAAACUCGAUCUCAAAUCAAGUAAGACUACCCGCUGAACUUAAGCAUAUCAAUAAGCGGAGGA